This 376-nucleotide ribosomal RNA is filed under the name uncultured bacterium. RNAcentral's name for it is "bacterial SSU rRNA". It matches the Rfam family "Bacterial small subunit ribosomal RNA", at positions 355 to 776 of the family's 1533-position model. The record is from RNAcentral.
UGGGGAAUAUUGCACAAUGGGCGCAAGCCUGAUGCAGCGACGCCGCGUGAGGGAUGACGGCCUUCGGGUUGAGGGUAUGUGCAGAAGAAGCGCCGGCUAACUACGUGCCAGCAGCCGCGGUAAUACGUAGGGCGCGAGCGUUGUCCGGAAUUAUUGGGCGUAAAGAGCUCGUAGGCGGUUUGUCGCGUCUGCCGUGAAAUCCUCUGGCUUAACUGGGGGCGUGCGGUGGGUACGGGCAGACUGGAGUGCGGUAGGGGAGACUGGAAUUCCUGGUGUAGCGGUGGAAUGCGCAGAUAUCAGGAGGAACACCGGUGGCGAAGGCGGGUCUCUGGGCCGUUACUGACGCUGAGGAGCGAAAGCAUGGGGAGCGAACAGG